AAUAUUUAAAUUUCCAUAACGCGUUUCGUCACAAAAGGACUUUUUCAAAUGGAAUAACCAAUAACCAUUUGAAAAAGUCCUUUUGUGACGAAACGCGUUAUGGAAAUUUAAAUAU
This is a non-coding RNA of Pelobates cultripes (western spadefoot toad), 115 nucleotides long. The record is from the annotation of a GenBank genome assembly. Lineage: Eukaryota; Metazoa; Chordata; Amphibia; Anura; Pelobatidae.